Long non-coding RNA from Aphidius gifuensis, 477 nucleotides. RefSeq lists it as uncharacterized. The record is from RefSeq and is a predicted model, not a curated record. The transcript is spliced from 3 exons. NCBI's taxonomy places the organism in Eukaryota, Metazoa, Arthropoda, Insecta, Hymenoptera, Braconidae.
AGUUGGCAUCAUUCUAAUGGGUUCUGAUGUUGCCCAGAAUAAUUUUAAUAACAUUGAAGAGUUCCAGCCAGUUCAAACAGUAUCAGUUGAUACAAUAAAAAAUAUAAAUAAAACCCAAAAGUUGGAUUAAGGCACUUCAUACUGCUGUUGAAGUUGCAAAGAGUAAAUGUAUAGGGUCAUUAAGGAACAACAUUAAUCAUGCUGAAUGAUUAUUCAUCUUCUGAUGAAUUAAAUGCAGCUGAUAUGCAAAAAUUUCAAACAGUAUUAUCAGGGAAACACUUCCUUUACUUGGCAUUGGAACAAAAUCCCUGACAACAAUUGACACUACUGACCUAAACAAGAGUGAAAAAAUGAUUCUGGAUUUAGUUAAUUGUUAGUUUGUCAAGAUGAAUACAGUACCAUCCUGUCAAAAAUACAAAAUCACAAAGCACCAAAACAUUUACUGCACCUGAAGCUGGAUAUGGAAAAUACAAAAGA